AAGACAUAACACGAUACUCUAUUCAAGUACUGGAAAGUGAAACCUUAUCCUCUUUUUUACUCUUUCAAGAGACCAAUGAAUCUCUUAGGAAGAUGUAAAAAUCAGUAACAGGCUUUCUCAUAGCAAGUCGUCGGCCAGUCAAAAUAUGUGUAAGCAUAAAACUCAAGUCGUGAAGUAGCCAGAAAUAGUAGAGGGUGGGAGACUG
This 205-nucleotide unclassified non-coding RNA is filed under the name Hevea brasiliensis (rubber tree). The record is from RNAcentral. Lineage: Eukaryota; Viridiplantae; Streptophyta; Magnoliopsida; Malpighiales; Euphorbiaceae.